UACUUGCUUUUGAUGAUGUUUCAGUGUCAUUCCACUUCGAAAUUAUAAAUAACGAUUCAAUUAGGUACACAAAAAGCUCAAGAAAAUCAAUGACAGCAUAAAAACGUUCAACUCAUUUAAUCGCAUAUAAUUGUUGUAAUGAUUUUUUGGUAAUACAUUUUUGGCUUUCUUCGAUUUGACUUUUCAACACAUCUUUUCGCUUCGGAAGAUGAAUAAGAAAUAACAAGGUUUAAAACAUGAACAGCAAAAUGAACAUACGUCGCAAGCGAGUCACUUUGGUCAAUAAGAGCUUGAGCUCCGUUGAAUUGACCAGACAUAGAAGAACAUCCAUCGUAACACUGUCCUCUAAGUAGUAUCUGUCGUAGGCACAAACAGAAGAAUUCUUCCUUGAUAAUCAUAUUUUCAACAACUAAAUAUCGUGCACACAAAGUUACUUGUUCAAUUCCACCAAUGUCGACCGUUUCAUCAGCAUGUAUUGUGAAACAUCUUUGGGCAUUUAUGUUUGGAUAUGACUACAUAACUUAAUUGUCACUUCAAUAUUUUUUAACACGCAACAAAAAGCAAAAAAAUUCAUAUAAUUACUUAAGUUACAAUAAAUCAUAAUUCUUUUUUAUUAUUUACUUUGUUAAUUGUAUCAACAUAUUAUGAUGUUUUUACAAUAAAACAGAUUAUAAUUUUAA
This is a long non-coding RNA of Daktulosphaira vitifoliae (grape phylloxera), 680 nucleotides long. RefSeq lists it as uncharacterized. NCBI's taxonomy places the organism in Eukaryota, Metazoa, Arthropoda, Insecta, Hemiptera, Phylloxeridae. The record is from RefSeq and is a predicted model, not a curated record. The transcript has 4 exons.